GCGUGCGGGAAGAAGGCCUUCGGGUUGUAAACCGCUUUUGUCAGGAACGAAACGGUGUUGGCUAAUAACCAGCGCUAAUGACGGUACCUGAAGAAUAAGCACCGGCUAACUACGUGCCAGCAGCCGCGGUAAUACGUAGGGUGCAAGCGUUAAUCGGAAUUACUGGGCGUAAAGCGUGCGCAGGCGGUUAUGUAAGACAGGUGUGAAAUCCCCGGGCUCAACCUGGGAACUGCAUUUGUGACUGCAUAGCUAGAGUUUGUCAGAGGGGGGUGGAAUUCCACGUGUAGCAGUGAAAUGCGU
This 300-nucleotide ribosomal RNA is filed under the name uncultured bacterium. RNAcentral's name for it is "bacterial SSU rRNA". It matches the Rfam family "Bacterial small subunit ribosomal RNA", at positions 399 to 691 of the family's 1533-position model. The record is from RNAcentral.